Molecule: long non-coding RNA, 213 nt
Filed under: Physcomitrium patens
Lineage: Eukaryota; Viridiplantae; Streptophyta; Bryopsida; Funariales; Funariaceae
Description: long non-coding RNA (PPAT_LNC000696)
Source: RNAcentral
UUAAAUGAGUAUGAAAUUUUAACAUAAAAAUCUAUUAUUUGAUAUUUGGUUUUAUAUAAAUUCUAAGAAAAUUCAGUACUUAAAUCAAUUCAACAUGUCAGUCAAACAUAACUUAAAUGAAGUGAUUAAACAUUUUAUCUAUAUAGAAGCUAAUAAAACAGUUAGCUAGUAUACACUUUAAAUUCUACAAUAUUCCUACUUCUUUCUUUUAAU